RNAcentral lists this ribosomal RNA (425 nucleotides) under uncultured Lactococcus sp. RNAcentral describes it as "bacterial SSU rRNA". It matches the Rfam family "Bacterial small subunit ribosomal RNA", at positions 355 to 767 of the family's 1533-position model. The record is from RNAcentral. Lineage: Bacteria; Bacillati; Bacillota; Bacilli; Lactobacillales; Streptococcaceae.
UAGGGAAUCUUCGGCAAUGGACGAAAGUCUGACCGAGCAACGCCGCGUGAGUGAAGAAGGUUUUCGGAUCGUAAAACUCUGUUCGGUAGAAGAAGAACGUUGGUGAGAGUGGAAAGCUCAUCAAGUGACGGUAACUACCCAGAAAGGGACGGCUAACUACGUGCCAAGCAGGCCGCGGUAAUACGUAGGUCCCGAGCGUUGUCCGGAUUUAUUGGGCGUAAAGCGAGCGCAGGUGGUUUAUUAAGUCUGGUGUAAAAGGCAGUGGCUCAACCAUUGUAUGCAUUGGAAACUGGUAGACUUGAGUGCAGGAGAGGAGAGUGGAAUUCCAUGUGUAGCGGUGAAAUGCGUAGAUAUAUUGGAGGAACACCGGUGGCGAAAGCGGCUCUCUGGCCUGUAACUGACACUGAGGCUCGAAAGCGUGGGGG